Non-coding RNA from Schizosaccharomyces pombe (fission yeast), 408 nucleotides. The record is from the annotation of a GenBank genome assembly. NCBI's taxonomy places the organism in Eukaryota, Fungi, Ascomycota, Schizosaccharomycetes, Schizosaccharomycetales, Schizosaccharomycetaceae.
ACCUUUAUUUUUUUUUCUUCUUCACAACUUUAUGUCUUAGGUAGAAGAUACGGCGGAGUGGUACUAAAAUUGCAUCCUUUAAAUAGAUGAAAAAUUAAGUUGCCACUCAAAUGAAUGGAACUUCGGGCUUUUCAAAACCACCGCCAGGGAAAUGACAUGAAAACAAUUUUACUAUCCCGAAAUUUUCUUUUUUUCAGCUUCUGCACUGAUAGCAUAAUCGUUUCCAAAACAAACUGUAAACUAAAUUUUCAUAAAAGCAGUAAAUUUUCAAACUUGGAGAUAUCGGGGUAGGGUUACCGUUAUUGCAGUUCAAAUAACCAUUGCUAUUAUUUAAUAUGUAUAAAAAAACCAUGUAGUAAUAGACUCGUGUGCAAAGUACACUUCAGCUGGGUUUGAGGUGCAAGGUUG